UCUAAGGCUGAUGGCGACCGGCGCACGGGUGAGUAACACGUAUCCAACCUGCCGAUAACUCGGGGAUAGCCUUUCGAAAGAAAGAUUAAUACCCGAUGGUAUAAUAAAACCGCAUGGUUUAAUUAUUAAAGAAUUUCGGUUAUCGAUGGGGAUGCGUUCCAUUAGGCAGUUGGUGAGGUAACGGCUCGCCAAACCUUCGAUGGAUAGGGGUUCUGAGAGGAAGGUCCCCCACAUUGGAACUGAGACACGGUCCAA
RNAcentral lists this ribosomal RNA (255 nucleotides) under uncultured bacterium. RNAcentral describes it as "partial 16S ribosomal RNA". It matches the Rfam family "Bacterial small subunit ribosomal RNA", at positions 78 to 334 of the family's 1533-position model. The record is from RNAcentral.